RNAcentral lists this ribosomal RNA (813 nucleotides) under Montagnula aquatica. RNAcentral's name for it is "Montagnula sp. YRS-2022a partial large subunit ribosomal RNA". It matches the Rfam family "Eukaryotic large subunit ribosomal RNA", at positions 77 to 906 of the family's 3401-position model. Lineage: Eukaryota; Fungi; Ascomycota; Dothideomycetes; Pleosporales; Didymosphaeriaceae. The record is from RNAcentral.
GCCCUAGUAACGGCGAGUGAAGCGGCAACAGCUCAAAUUUGAAAUCUGGCCUCCUUUGGGGGUCCGAGUUGUAAUUUGCAGAGGGUGCUUUGGCAUAGGCGGCGGUCUAAGUUCCUUGGAACAGGACAUCGCAGAGGGUGAGAAUCCCGUACGUGGGCGCCUGCCUUUGCCGUGUAAAGCCCCUUCGACGAGUCGAGUUGUUUGGGAAUGCAGCUCUAAAUGGGAGGUAAAUUUCUUCUAAAGCUAAAUACCGGCCAGAGACCGAUAGCGCACAAGUAGAGUGAUCGAAAGAUGAAAAGUACUUUGGAAAGAGAGUCAAAUAGCACGUGAAAUUGUUGAAAGGGAAGCGCUUGCAGCCAGACGUGCCCGCGGUUGCUCACCCCGGCUUUUGCUUGGGGCACUCUUCCGCGGGCAGGCCAGCAUCAGUUUGGGCGGUCGGAUAAAGGCCUCUGUCAAGUAUCUUCCUUCGGGAUGACCUUAUAGGGGAGGCGUAAUGCGACCAGCCCGGACUGAGGUCCGCGCAUCUGCUAGGAUGCUGGCGUAAUGGCUGUAAGCGGCCCGUCUUGAAACACGGACCAAGGAGUCUAACAUCUAUGCGAGUGUUUGGGUGUCAAGCCCGGGCGCGAAAUGAAAGUGAACGGAGGUGGGAUCCCUUCGGGGUGCACCAUCGACCGAUCCUGAUGUCUUCGGAUGGAUUUGAGUAAGAGCAUAGCUGUUGGGACCCGAAAGAUGGUGAACUAUGCUUGAAUAGGGUGAAGCCAGAGGAAACUCUGGUGGAGGCUCGCAGCGGUUCUGACGUGCAAAUCGAUCGUC